RNAcentral lists this long non-coding RNA (219 nucleotides) under Prunus dulcis (almond). Its description in RNAcentral is "sRNA ncRNA". The record is from RNAcentral. Lineage: Eukaryota; Viridiplantae; Streptophyta; Magnoliopsida; Rosales; Rosaceae.
CUUCUUUCUUAUCUCAUCGAGAAUAAACAGAACAGAUGGAACUCCCAUGUUCCCAUACUUGCUCAAUACAUGCCUAAUUGCUCUCAGCUUCCCCUCAUUCAGACCCAGUUUUUCUUCAACCUUGUCUAAAAUGGCCGGUCCGCCGGGAUGGAUGCUAUAGAACAAGGAGUUCCAAUCAUUAUUAAUCCCAUCUAUUUUAUUAAACCCUUUAACCAAAAG